AGGAUAAACGCUGGCGGCGUGCCUAACACAUGCAAGUCGAACGUCCUACGCAAGUAGGGAGUGGCGGACGGGUGAGUAACACGUGGGCAAUCUACCUUUCGGUGAGGAAUACCGGCGAGAAAUCGCCGACAAUACCGCAUACGCUUCGCAAGAAGCAAAGUCGCAAGACGCCGGAGGAGGAGCCUGCGCCCGAUUAGCUCGUUGGUGGAGUAAUGGUCUACCAAGGCGACGAUCGGUAGCUGGUCUGAGAGGAUGAUCAGCCACACUGGGAUUGAGAACGGCCCAGACUCCUACGGGGGGCAGCAGUGAGGAAUUUUGGACAAUGGGCGCAAGCCUGAUCCAGCCAUGCCGCGUGGGUGAAGAAGGCCUUCGGGUUGUAAAGCCCUUUUGUUGGGAAGAAUCGUACGGUUGAAUAUUCCGUGCGGAUGACGGUACCAAAGAAUAAGCACCGGCUAACUUCGUGCCAGCAGCCGCGGUAA
RNAcentral lists this ribosomal RNA (479 nucleotides) under uncultured bacterium. Its description in RNAcentral is "SSU rRNA". It matches the Rfam family "Bacterial small subunit ribosomal RNA", at positions 26 to 523 of the family's 1533-position model. The record is from RNAcentral.